Molecule: ribosomal RNA, 253 nt
Filed under: uncultured bacterium
Lineage: Bacteria
Description: partial 16S ribosomal RNA
Rfam family: Bacterial small subunit ribosomal RNA
Source: RNAcentral
UACGUAGGGGGCUAGCGUUGUCCGGAUUUAUUAGGCGUAAAGAGCGUGUAGGCGGCCAUGUAGGUCCGGUGUGAAAACUCGAGGCUUAACCUCGAGAUGACAUCGGAAACCAUUUGGCUAGAGUCCGGAAGAGGAGAGUGGAAUUCCUGGUGUAGCGGUGAAAUGCGCAGAUAUCAGGAAGAACACCAAUGGCGAAAGCAGCUCUCUGGGACGGUACUGACGCUGAGACGCGAAAGCGUGGGGAGCGAACAGG